This 1347-nucleotide ribosomal RNA is filed under the name uncultured bacterium. RNAcentral's name for it is "partial 16S ribosomal RNA". It matches the Rfam family "Bacterial small subunit ribosomal RNA", at positions 28 to 1381 of the family's 1533-position model. The record is from RNAcentral.
GACGCCUUUUGGCGGCGUGCUUAACACAUGCAAGUCGAACGGAAAGGCCCUGCUUUUGUGGGGUGCUCGAGUGGCGAACGGGUGAGUAACACGUGAGUAACCUGCCCUUGACUUUGGGAUAACUUCAGGAAACUGGGGCUAAUACCGGAUAGGAGCUCCUGCUGCAUGGUGGGGGUUGGAAAGUUUCGGCGGUUGGGGAUGGACUCGCGGCUUAUCAGCUUGUUGGUGGGGUAGUGGCUUACCAAGGCUUUGACGGGUAGCCGGCCUGAGAGGGUGACCGGCCACAUUGGGACUGAGAUACGGCCCAGACUCCUACGGGAGGCAGCAGUGGGGAAUAUUGCACAAUGGGCGGAAGCCUGAUGCAGCAACGCCGCGUGCGGGAUGACGGCCUUCGGGUUGUAAACCGCUUUCGCCUGUGACGAAGCGUGAGUGACGGUAAUGGGUAAAGAAGCACCGGCUAACUACGUGCCAGCAGCCGCGGUGAUACGUAGGGUGCGAGCGUUGUCCGGAUUUAUUGGGCGUAAAGGGCUCGUAGGUGGUUGAUCGCGUCGGAAGUGUAAUCUUGGGGCUUAACCCCUGAGCGUGCUUUCGAUACGGGUUGACUUGAGGAAGGUAGGGGAGAAUGGGAUUCCUGGUGGAGCGGUGGAAUGCGCAGAUAUCAGGAGGAACACCAGUGGCGAAGGCGGUUCUCUGGGCCUUUCCUGACGCUGAGGAGCGAAAGCGUGGGGAGCGAACAGGCUUAGAUACCCUGGUAGUCCACGCUGUAAACGGUGGGUACUAGGUGUGGGGUCCAUUCCACGGGUUCCGUGCCGUAGCUAACGCUUUAAGUACCCCGCCUGGGGAGUACGGCCGCAAGGCUAAAACUCAAAGGAAUUGACGGGGCCCCGCACAAGCGGCGGAGCAUGCGGAUUAAUUCGAUGCAACGCGUAGAACCUUACCUGGGUUUGACAUGGAUCGGGAGUGCUCAGAGAUGGGUGUGCCUCUUUUGGGGUCGGUUCACAGGUGGUGCAUGCCUGUCGUCAGCUCGUGUCGUGAGAUGUUGGGUUAAGUCCCGCAACGAGCGCAACCCUUGUUCACUGUUGCCAGCACGUUAUGGUGGGGACUCAGUGGAGACCGCCGGGGUCAACUCGGUGGAAGGUGGGGAUGACGUCAAGUCAUCAUGCCCCUUAUGUCCAGGGCUUCACGCAUGCUACAAUGGCUGGUACAGAGAGUGGCGAGCCUGUGAGGGUGAGCGAAUCUCGGAAAGCCGGUCUCAGUUCGGAUUGGGGUCUGCAACUCGACCUCAUGAAGUCGGAGUCGCUAGUAAUCGCAGAAAGGCAACGCUGCGGUGAAUACGUUCCCGGGGCU